AGUAAUAAGGACGAAUUUGUCAUGAGAUCUCCAAUUGCUUACGUAUCGCUAUCGAUGAAGAAAAUAAUUGUAUUUUUCUUCAUUUUUUUUGUGGCAAUUCAAUGUAUUUUAUGGAAUGUGAAACAAUCAGCGACCAAAUUCAUUGGUAAAAAUGACGAUAUAAAACCCAGAGAGCGACCGUGGUUCUUCACUAAUGGUGGAAAAGUGCUGGCAAUUCGAGCAAAUUUUUCAGAAAAAUUGGGCAGACAUGAUUCAAAGUUAAUGCCAUGGGAAGAUCCAAGUGACGUCAAAAUUAUGAUGAGAAAAAGGUGGAGAAAAAUAAAACGAUUCUAUUUUAUAAUUAUCUCGAAAAAUGGUGGGAGCUGAAACAGCAAUGGCACACUUGGUUUACCAAUAAAAAAUGCCCAGUCAAUCGAUGUAGAUUCACAGUUGAUCGCAAGGAAACAAAUACAGCCGAUUUAAUUGUAUUUUUAUAUCAAAAGAAAGAUCCAAAAAUAACUAAACAGCGACAUCAAGUCUAUGCAUUUUUCAGAAAUGAGAGUCCGAUUCAUUGGCCAGAACAAUACACAAAAUCAGUCAUUUAUAACUGGACGAUGACAUAUCGGUAAAUGGCUUAAAAAUAGAGUUUCUUAAUCUUAAACAAAAUGGUCAACUCUUAAUUUUCAGGCACGACAGUACGAUUGCGAUUCCUUAUUCGAAAUGGUUAUAUUUCGAUCCUCGAAUAAAGCAAAUGGAACAGAAUCGAAAUUAUGCUGAAAAUAAAACAAAAAAAGUCGCUUGGCUUGUGUCGAAUUGUGAUGCUGAAAAUGAUCGCCAGAUAUAUGUACAAAAACUCCGGAAAUACAUUGAUAUUGACAUUUAUGGUAGAUGUGGAACGAAAAAAUGUCCCAACAGUUUUUCCGAGUGCCUUAAUAUGGUGACCAAAGAUUAUAAAUUCUAUUUAUCAUUUGAAAAUUCAUAUUGUAUGGAUUACAUCACUGAAAAAACGUACCAAAAUGGUUUGGCUCAUGAUGUAUUGCCCAUUGUAUUCACGUCGUGAAGACUA
This is an RNA transcript of Contarinia nasturtii (swede midge), 1045 nucleotides long. It is a transcript of the gene named glycoprotein 3-alpha-L-fucosyltransferase A-like, with no coding region annotated. The transcript has 4 exons. The record is from RefSeq and is a predicted model, not a curated record. Lineage: Eukaryota; Metazoa; Arthropoda; Insecta; Diptera; Cecidomyiidae.